This 88-nucleotide transfer RNA is filed under the name Cercophora newfieldiana. It matches the Rfam family "tRNA". From Rfam's summary of the family: Transfer RNA (tRNA) molecules are approximately 80 nucleotides in length. Their secondary structure includes four short double-helical elements and three loops (D, anti-codon, and T loops). Further hydrogen bonds mediate the characteristic L-shaped molecular structure. tRNAs have two regions of fundamental functional importance: the anti-codon, which is responsible for specific mRNA codon recognition, and the 3' end, to which the tRNAs corresponding amino acid is attached (by aminoacyl-tRNA synthetases). tRNAs cope with the degeneracy of the genetic code in two manners: having more than one tRNA (with a specific anti-codon) for a particular amino acid; and 'wobble' base-pairing, i.e. permitting non-standard base-pairing at the 3rd anti-codon position. Lineage: Eukaryota; Fungi; Ascomycota; Sordariomycetes; Sordariales; Lasiosphaeriaceae. The record is from Rfam by way of RNAcentral.
GCCCGGCUAGCUCAAUCGGUAGAGCGUGAGACUCUUAAGAAGCAUCUCCGAAAUCUCAAGGUUGUGGGUUCGACCCCCACGUCGGGCU